RNAcentral lists this non-coding RNA (2263 nucleotides) under Pan troglodytes (chimpanzee). Lineage: Eukaryota; Metazoa; Chordata; Mammalia; Primates; Hominidae. The record is from RNAcentral.
GUCUCAGCUCGAGCAUUCCUAGCGCCAACACGCCCUCAGGUAAAGGUGGAAGUAAAUGGCCACGCUGUAUUGACAGAGCAGGUAGAUGAAACUCAAGAGAAAAGGUGUGGAUAAAUGAAACUAGCCCAUGAUGAACCUGUUUUCUCCAUGACCACAAUAUUAACCAGGAUGAUGGCGGUGGCAGUGGGCCUGCAUCACAGGUUGCAGCAGAUGUUCUCAAUAUUUCUAUUAAAAUUUCCUUAUUUCCAUAUGCAAGAGGAGCCCCAGAGCUGCAUCCUUAUGGUAGCUACCAUGCCGUGAUGUAAGCUGCCAUUCACUGGGGAGCUUUGGCAAUAGAAUUGGCUAGAUCAGCAAGCCCAUGUCAACUAUGGAACAACAACUUGCAGCUCAUCUCUAUUGAUGAUGGAAUCUCGCUAUGUCACCAGGCUGGAGUGCAGUGGCGCAACCUCGGCUCAGCGCAACAUCCGCCUCCCGGGUUCAAGUGAUUCUCCUACCUCAGCCUCCCGAGUAGCUGGGAUUACAGGUGAAACAGUCGCAAAUGGAAUUUCAAGAAACAUUCUAUAUACACUGCCUCUAGGACUGGGACAGAUAGCCACUGAGUACCUGCUUCAAAUCACCCUGCACGUUUUCUCUUUGGAAAGAUAAGCACUGGAGAACCAUCUCGUUACCUUCAGCAAAAAUGGAAACAAAUCAAGACAUUAAGAAUGCCACAGUGGACAGCAGUUAUGCAAGGUUCAGCAGAGGAAGUUUUCAAGAUGGUGUGCCUCACUAGCCAGAAAUCAGAAAAGAUCGAAGCUAGCCUUUUCAUCUCAGCUGCUCCUUAAAUCAGUGCAACCCCUCCAAAUUAAUGUGAAUUGAAACAUGCAUUGCUUUUCAACUUAAUUGAAUACUUACUAUAUGUGAACCACUGCACAAAAUAGGGGAAGAAGAUGUGGGAGACAAAGAUGUGGAGCCUGUCUUCAAUAAAUUUACAGUUAGUUUCAGGGUACAUUGUUUUUCUUCUGCUGUUAAUUAGGUGUAUCCCCAAGACAAUAAAUACAUGAAUGGAAAAGUAUAUUCUGUGUUUUAAGUCUCUUUAAUAAAAAACAAAACAAAAUCCAAAAAAACUCCUAACAUGGCAACUCAGGACAUUUUAAUCCUUUUUUUUGUUGUUGGGCUUCUGAUAGGAUCCAUUUUAUUGAUUCCAUAAAUAUUUAGUAGACUUUAGACAUAUUAAUACAUUGUAGUUUGAGUUAAUUUGCAUUAAAUUCUGUUUUUUCCCCCUUAGGUAUAGAUUGUCUGUUGGAAAAAUAUAUUGCUUGUGGAUUUCUUGGGGAGUGGGAAGGUGAAUUAUACCUGUUGUCUCUACAGUCCACUACCUUCCACGCCCUAGGGCAGUGGUCCCCAACCUUCUUGGCACCAGGGAUCAGUUUCCUGGAAAUCAAUUUUUCUGUGGAUGGUGUGGGGAUGGUUUUGGGAUGGAACUGUUCCACCUCAGAUCAUCAGGCAUUAGUUAGGCUCUCAUAACGAGUGCGCAGCCUAGAUCCCUCACAUGCACAGUUCACAGUAGGCUUUGCGCUGCUAUGAGAAUCUAAGGCUGCCACUGAUCUGACAGGAGGCAGAACUCAGGUGGCAAUGCUUACUGGCCCACUGCUCACCUCUUGCUGUGCGGCCUGGUUCCUAAUAGGCCAUGGACCCCCACAGACUGGUACUAGUCUGCAGCUUGUGGACCCCAGCCCUAGGGGCCUGCCAUUCUGAGUGAGUUAUUAGCAUGAAGAAGAGGAAGAUCUGGAUCAUACGUGGGUGAUGGUUCUCAGAGACCCAAGAUAGGAUAGGGAUGGAACAAAAUCCAUCUGGGCAACGGCUCUAUGAAAAUUUGGCUAAGUAAUUAUUUCAGUAUUCAUUGUAUUCAUUGGCCUUCGUGUUCCAUAAGUUAAAUGACUGUCUAAUUUUUCCAAAAAUUUAUUUCUGACUUGAGAAUAAGUGUGUCAUGAUUUUCCCAGUGUAAAGACACUGAUAUAACUGUAGAUACCAGACAUUUUAUGUAGUGUCUGUGACACAUUUUAGUAUGUAUGAGCCAACAAUAGACAUGUCUUUGUCUUGAGGAGUGUCCAUCUGAAUUGAAAAUGUGUCAGCUUUUUUUUAACAUCAUCAACAGACUUCUUAAUUAAGCUGCCAAUACAUACUGCCAAUAGCACUGUGUGCUGUCUGAGAAAUGCAUUGUGUAAGUGCUAUUUCCAUCUUAUUAAAUAAACAAUGUUGCUCUGUAUAAACUGGAUUUAAA